AAGGAGGGCUGAAUAAUUAGAAUACAAUUCUGAUCUCUGGGCCUCUGUUUCCCCAUCCAUAAGACAAAGGAGCUGAGGAGGAGACCUCAAAGGACUCUUUCAGCCCCACUAUUCUAUGAAUCUAAGAGUAUUUCCCAGUAGAAAUACUUGGAAGAUAAAAUUAAUCCUCUCCUUAAUCAACGGUUCCUAUCUCUGCACGUGACUUGUCAGGGGAACUUUUCUCUGAUGCUCACACGAUGCGGGAACUUGUCACAUCUUCAAUCUCCGGGAACGUCCUCACCUGAAAUUGAAAGGUAAAUAUUUCAGUUGUGAGUCUCUCUGUCAUGACUCAAAUAAUUUUAAAAUUGCUUAGAUGUCUUUGCCUAACAAUGUUCAGAUUGUUCUAAUGCAGGGGAAAACGGUAGUUUUAGACACAGUAAUAUUGAUAGCAGCUAGUAAUUUCCAUGUACUUCUCACAGUUAUUGGCACUGUGAGGAUUACCAAGGAGAACUUUUUACUUACUAAAAAGACAUUCUAUGUUGAGGGCCCAGCAUGGUGCCUGGCAAGAGAAGAUUCUCACUAGAUGGUGAGUUUUGCAAUAAUUAUUUCCAUGGAGUUGGGUUGAGAAAUAGCCAUACUUCUCUCCAAGAUGCUAUAAAGUCAUCAGGCAUCUCAGCUCAUAGGGAUUUUAUCCCUAGAAGACCUUUUUAGACAGGUAGCUCAGAGUUGGCACAAUCUCCCCCUCAUUCAUUCAGCAGAUAGUCUCCAGUGCCUUCAUGAGAAUCAAACUCCAUCCCUGCCCCCAAGUAGCUCCCUAUGUAGUCAGAAGGACAAUAUAAUGUGCAAGAAAUAUCAGUUAAUGGGUGUCAAUACAAUAGUAAGAGAAGGUUCUGGGUGUUGCCCUGAGUUUUUAGAAGAUCAAAGAAAGAUGUUUCAAAAACUACCUUGAAUCAAGCACUAAUUUUUUUUUGUUACCUUCACUUACCAGUCCUAAAAGAAAAAGAAAAAAUAACUAAGUUAGUAAGAAAUUGUCGACAUCUAAAAGGCUAUAGUUUUUUUAAUGUGGUUAUUCUUAUUGUCUGUUUCAUUCCAGGGAAUUUUAUUUCGUUGUGUUAACUGCUUUGUCCCCAGCACAUGCUGGGUGCAUAAGAAGUCCCAAAUAAAUAUUUGUUGGCAGAUGGACUAGACCUGCCCAGCCUAGGCCACUGUGAAAAAGAAAUAAAAGUGGGCCCAGUCAAGAAAGAAGCUUCAAGAGACCCCAAGGUCCAUAGCUUCUGGAGGCCAAAUGCAUUCCUUCGCUCAUGGGUCCUUCAUCGCAUUACUACAAUCUUCUGGUCCCAUUGUUGCUUCUCCUACUACUGAGUCUGAAUCCUCCUGCUUCCCUUUUAAAAGGAUUCUUGUGAUUACAUUGGGCAAUCCUGGAAAUGGUACCUAACUUGGUCUGAGAGGUAGAGGAAGGAGCUCCAGCGGGGAGGAUAUUCAUGUUGAAUUUUGAGGUAGAACAAAGGCAGUCAAGGGUGCGAGGAUAUUGGAAGCUGUAUUCUGUGAGCGUUCAUGAAGGCUGUGGAAGGAUCCAGGCAGGAUGGCCUCAAAUUAAGAUUUUAAUGACUCUUUGGUUUAGAAAACACACUCUUAUUGUUAACACUAUCUUAUCAGGUAUCAUUUUUGAAUUCACAGAUGAAAGUUAAAAAAUUCAUAAUUACACAAA
Non-coding RNA from Macaca mulatta (Rhesus monkey), 1687 nucleotides. The record is from RefSeq and is a predicted model, not a curated record. Lineage: Eukaryota; Metazoa; Chordata; Mammalia; Primates; Cercopithecidae.